Molecule: non-coding RNA, 22 nt
Filed under: Arabidopsis thaliana (thale cress)
Lineage: Eukaryota; Viridiplantae; Streptophyta; Magnoliopsida; Brassicales; Brassicaceae
Source: RNAcentral
GUGAUCAAGAGUGUCGGCUCAA